AGAGUUUGAUCCUGGCUCAGGAUAAACGCUGGCGGCGUGCCUAACACAUGCAAGUCGAACGCCCUCUGGCAACAGAGGGAGUGGCGGACGGGUGAGCAACACGUGGGUACCUACCCCAAGGUGAGGAAUACCGGCGAGAAAUCGCCGACAAUACCGCAUAGGUUUGGACGACAAACAAAGCUCGCAAGAGCGCCAUGGGA
RNAcentral lists this ribosomal RNA (200 nucleotides) under uncultured bacterium. RNAcentral's name for it is "partial 16S ribosomal RNA". It matches the Rfam family "Bacterial small subunit ribosomal RNA", at positions 8 to 225 of the family's 1533-position model. The record is from RNAcentral.